Molecule: ribosomal RNA, 388 nt
Filed under: uncultured bacterium
Lineage: Bacteria
Description: bacterial SSU rRNA
Rfam family: Bacterial small subunit ribosomal RNA
Source: RNAcentral
GACGAACGCUGGCGGCGUGCUUAACACAUGCAAGUCGAGCGGUAAGGCCCUUUCGGGGGUACACGAGCGGCGAACGGGUGAGUAACACGUGGGUGACCUGCCCUUAGCUCUGGGAUAAGCCUGGGAAACUGGGUCUAAUACCGGAUAUGACUCCAUGACGCAUGUUGUGGGGUGGAAAGCCUUGUGCGGCUAGGGAUGGGCCCGCGGCCUAUCAGCUUGUUGGUGGGGUGAUGGCCUACCAAGGCGACGACGGGUAGCCGGCCUGAGAGGGCGACCGGCCACACUGGGACUGAGACACGGCCCAGACUCCUACGGGAGGCAGCAGUGGGAAGUCUUGCGCAAUGGGCGAAAGCCUGACGCAGCGACGCCGCGUGAGGGAUGACGGCCU